UGAGGAAUAUUGGGCAAUGGACGAGAGUCUGAACCAGCCAUGCCGCGUGAAGGAUGAAGGCGUUCUGCGUUGUAAACUUCUUUUAUCUGGGACGAAACACUUCUUUUCUAAGAGGCCUGACGGUACCAGAUGAAUAAGCACCGGCUAACUCCGUGCCAGCAGCCGCGGUAAUACGGAGGGUGCAAGCGUUAUCCGGAUUUACUGGGUUUAAAGGGUGUGUAGGCGGAUUAUUAAGUCAGCGGUGAAAUCUCCAGGCUCAACCUGGAAACUGCCAUUGAUACUAUUAGUCUUGAAUAUUGUUGAGGUGGGCGGAACGGGUCAUGUAGCGGUGAAAUGCAUAGAUAUGACCCGGAACACAGAUUGCGAAGGCAGCCCGCUAAGCAAUGAUUGACGCUGAGGCACGAAAGCGUGGGGAUCAAACA
Molecule: ribosomal RNA, 422 nt
Filed under: uncultured bacterium
Lineage: Bacteria
Description: bacterial SSU rRNA
Rfam family: Bacterial small subunit ribosomal RNA
Source: RNAcentral